AAGGAACCAUUUAACACAGUGGGGGAAAUCUCUGGGGCCCUUUUUACCUUAUCAUCAUAAAUUCAUUAAGGAGGUUGGGAUUCUGGUUUGCUGGCGAGACCCAGGGCUUUAAGAGGCAAGAAGCAACAUGGAGCAUUGAGGAAGAUGUGGGAC
This is a non-coding RNA of Notechis scutatus (mainland tiger snake), 153 nucleotides long. NCBI's taxonomy places the organism in Eukaryota, Metazoa, Chordata, Lepidosauria, Squamata, Elapidae. The record is from RefSeq and is a predicted model, not a curated record.